Molecule: ribosomal RNA, 252 nt
Filed under: uncultured bacterium
Lineage: Bacteria
Description: partial 16S ribosomal RNA
Rfam family: Bacterial small subunit ribosomal RNA
Source: RNAcentral
UACGUAGGGUGCGAGCGUUGUCCGGAAUUAUUGGGCGUAAAGAGCUUGUAGGCGGUUUGUCGCGUCUGCUGUGAAAAUCCGGGGCUCAACCCGGACUUGCAGUGGGUACGGGCAGACUAGAGUGUGGUAGGGGAGACUGGAAUUCCUGGUGUAGCGGUGAAAUGCGCAGAUAUCAGGAGGAACACCGAUGGCGAAGGCAGGUCUCUGGGCCGACUACUGCGCUGAGAAGCGAAAGCAUGGGGAGCGAACAGG